This 628-nucleotide ribosomal RNA is filed under the name uncultured bacterium. RNAcentral's name for it is "bacterial SSU rRNA". It matches the Rfam family "Bacterial small subunit ribosomal RNA", at positions 56 to 728 of the family's 1533-position model. The record is from RNAcentral.
UGCAAGUCGAACGAUUGCCUUCGGGUGAUAGUGGCGCACGGGUGCGUAACGCGUGGGAAUCUGCCCUUAGGUUCGGAAUAACAGCUGGAAACGGCUGCUAAUACCGGAUGAUAUCGCGAGAUCAAAGAUUUAUCGCCUGAGGAUGAGCCCGCGUUGGAUUAGGUAGUUGGUGGGGUAAAGGCCUACCAAGCCGACGAUCCAUAGCUGGUCUGAGAGGAUGAUCAGCCACACUGGGACUGAGACACGGCCCAGACUCCUACGGGAGGCAGCAGUGGGGAAUAUUGGACAAUGGGCGCAAGCCUGAUCCAGCAAUGCCGCGUGAGUGAUGAAGGCCCUAGGGUUGUAAAGCUCUUUUACCCGGGAAGAUAAUGACUGUACCGGGAGAAUAAGCCCCGGCUAACUCCGUGCCAGCAGCCGCGGUAAUACGGAGGGGGCUAGCGUUGUUCGGAAUUACUGGGCGUAAAGCGCACGUAGGCGGCUUUGUAAGUCAGAGGUGAAAGCCUGGAGCUCAACUCCAGAACUGCCUUUGAGACUGCAUCGCUUGAAUCCAGGAGAGGUCAGUGGAAUUCCGAGUGUAGAGGUGAAAUUCGUAGAUAUUCGGAAGAACACCAGUGGCGAAGGCGGCUGA